CCUACGGGAGGCAGCAGUGGGGAAUAUUGCACAAUGGGCGAAAGCCUGAUGCAGCGACGCCGCGUGAGGGAUGACGGCCUUCGGGUUGUAAACCUCUUUCAGCAGGGAAGAAGCGCAAGUGACGGUACCUGCAGAAGAAGCACCGGCUAACUACGUGCCAGCAGCCGCGGUAAUACGUAGGGUGCGAGCGUUGUCCGGAAUUAUUGGGCGUAAAGAGCUCGUAGGCGGUCUGUCACGUCGGAUGUGAAAGCCCGGGGCUUAACCCCGGGUCUGCAUUCGAUACGGGCAGACUAGAGUGUGGUAGGGGAGAUCGGAAUUCCUGGUGUAGCGGUGAAAUGCGCAGAUAUCAGGAGGAACACCGGUGGCGAAGGCGGAUCUCUGGGCCAUUACUGACGCUGAGGAGCGAAAGCGUGGGGAGCGAACAGGAUUAGAUACCCUGGUAGUCCACGCCGUAAACGUUGGGAACUAGGUGUUGGCGACAUUCCACGUCGUCGGUGCCGCAGCUAACGCAUUAAGUUCCCCGCUGGGAGUACGGCCGCAAGGCUAAACUCAAAGGAUUGACGG
RNAcentral lists this ribosomal RNA (564 nucleotides) under uncultured bacterium. RNAcentral describes it as "bacterial SSU rRNA". It matches the Rfam family "Bacterial small subunit ribosomal RNA", at positions 338 to 916 of the family's 1533-position model. The record is from RNAcentral.